GGAUAGGGGUUCUGAGAGGAAGGUCCCCCACAUUGGAACUGAGACACGGUCCAAACUCCUACGGGAGGCAGCAGUGAGGAAUAUUGGUCAAUGGGCGAGAGCCUGAACCAGCCAAGUAGCGUGAAGGAUGACUGCCCUAUGGGUUGUAAACUUCUUUUAUGCGGGAAUAACAAGCGGCACGUGUGCCGUUCUGCAUGUACCGUAUGAAUAAGCAUCGGCUAACUCCGUGCCAGCAGCCGCGGUAAUACGGAGGAUGCGAGCGUUAUCCGGAUUUAUUGGGUUUAAAGGGAGCGCAGACGGGUCUUUAAGUCAGUUGUGAAAGUUUGCGGCUCAACCGUAAAAUUGCAGUUGAUACUGGAGACCUUGAGUGCGGUAUAGGCAGGCGGAAUUCGUGGUGUAGCGGUGAAAUGCUUAGAUAUCACGAAGAACUCCGAUUG
This 437-nucleotide ribosomal RNA is filed under the name uncultured Bacteroides sp. RNAcentral describes it as "bacterial SSU rRNA". It matches the Rfam family "Bacterial small subunit ribosomal RNA", at positions 281 to 715 of the family's 1533-position model. Lineage: Bacteria; Pseudomonadati; Bacteroidota; Bacteroidia; Bacteroidales; Bacteroidaceae. The record is from RNAcentral.